UUAUACAAUUUAUAUUAUUUAAUGUGUUUGGGGUAGAAGAUUAGAUUUAUUUAAGGUUAAAAUUUAUAUUUUUAGGUGAAAUUUAAAUAUUGGUUAUUCUUUAUUCAAUUUCUUUUAAAAUCAAAUUAAAAACUAGGAUUAGAUACCCUAUUAUUUUGAUCAUUAAUAGUUCCUGGGUAGUAUUAGUUAUGUUCUUGAAACCCAAAGAGUUUGGCGGUGUCUUAUUCCUAUUAGAGGAACUUGUCCCGUAAUCGAUAAUCCCCGUUUUAUCUUACUUUCCUUUGUUUAACAGUAUGUAUAUCUCCGUUAUAGGUUUAUUUUUUUAGGAUUUUUAUUUACCUAAUAAAUUAUUAUUUAUUAUUUCAAGUCA
This 370-nucleotide ribosomal RNA is filed under the name Paracalynda utilaensis. RNAcentral's name for it is "partial 12S ribosomal RNA". The record is from RNAcentral. Lineage: Eukaryota; Metazoa; Arthropoda; Insecta; Phasmatodea; Diapheromeridae.